UUACUGUAGGGCCUGCGGCUU
This 21-nucleotide microRNA is filed under the name Bos taurus (domestic cattle). RNAcentral describes it as "bta-miR-2469". Lineage: Eukaryota; Metazoa; Chordata; Mammalia; Artiodactyla; Bovidae. The record is from miRBase by way of RNAcentral.